RNAcentral lists this ribosomal RNA (460 nucleotides) under uncultured bacterium. Its description in RNAcentral is "partial 16S ribosomal RNA". It matches the Rfam family "Bacterial small subunit ribosomal RNA", at positions 338 to 795 of the family's 1533-position model. The record is from RNAcentral.
CCUACGGGAGGCAGCAGUGAGGAAUAUUGGUCAAUGGACGAGAGUCUGAACCAGCCAAGUAGCGUGAAGGAUGACUGCCCUAUGGGUUGUAAACUUCUUUUAUAUGGGAAUAAAAUGUUCCACGUGUGGGAUUUUGUAUGUACCAUAUGAAUAAGGAUCGGCUAACUCCGUGCCAGCAGCCGCGGUAAUACGGAGGAUCCGAGCGUUAUCCGGAUUUAUUGGGUUUAAAGGGAGCGUAGGUGGAUUGUUAAGUCAGUUGUGAAAGUUUGCGGCUCAACCGUAAAAUUGCAGUUGAAACUGGCAGUCUUGAGUACAGUAGAGGUGGGCGGAAUUCGUGGUGUAGCGGUGAAAUGCUUAGAUAUCACGAAGAACUCCGAUUGCGAAGGCAGCUCACUGGACUGCAACUGACACUGAGGCACGAAAGCGUGGGUAUCGAACAGGAUUAGAUACCCCAGUAGUC